GUCAUCGGGCUCUCCUCUUUUGAAAGAUCUUCUACAUAGCGCGGCGCACCGCCCGUCGAGAAGCAGUCACAUGUGAUACCGAGGUGGAGACGUCGCCGGCAUCCUCGAGGCGCGACCGCACUUCUACGAGCCAGCGUCGACUCAAGUGGUGCGCGCAAGGAGAUUUAUUUGUGGGUGUGCUGAGCUGUUAGGCAGUGACGGACGCAGCAAAGAAUUGGAGGGGGGCACACCCCCAAAAAAAAAAUUUGCGCCGUCAAAAUUGUGAAAAACGUUUGCCAAAUGAACAAUAUAUAAGGCUCUGUUGGGAUGUUUAUAUUGGGAGACUUGUCAUUGCAUUUAGUUGAAUGUUGAUAACCUAGGAUAUUGAGAUUGAAUGCCAAUAUUUCUGUUUGGAUAUUUAGAUAUUUAGAAGCUCGACUUAAUAUGGAGGGUGAAUGCCAAAAUAGUCGGAUCAACUUUGAAAUUCUGAAAAACUAAGAAACAAUGUGUACAACACAA
Molecule: long non-coding RNA, 498 nt
Organism: Lolium perenne
Lineage: Eukaryota; Viridiplantae; Streptophyta; Magnoliopsida; Poales; Poaceae
Source: RefSeq, a predicted model, not a curated record